Molecule: ribosomal RNA, 1098 nt
Filed under: Triticum aestivum (bread wheat)
Lineage: Eukaryota; Viridiplantae; Streptophyta; Magnoliopsida; Poales; Poaceae
Description: partial small subunit ribosomal RNA
Source: RNAcentral
AUGGACAAAUCAGAUGAGAUCAUCAUGCCGGGGUUCCGGUUCCAUCCUACCGAUGAAGAGCUCGUUAGUUUCUACCUCAAGAAGAAGAUCCAGCAAAAGCCUAUCUCUAUUGAGCUCAUCAGGCAGCUGGACAUCUACAAGUUUGACCCGUGGGACCUCCCAAAGCUUGCGAGCACCGGUGAGACGGACUGGUACUUCUACUGCCCAAGGGACCGGAAAUAUCGCAACAGCGCGAGGCCAAACCGAGUCACAGCAGCUGGGUUCUGGAAAGCCACAGGGACAGACAGGCCGAUCUACUCCUCCGAGGGCACGAGGUGCAUAGGCCUGAAGAAGUCCCUUGUCUUCUACAGAGGCAGAGCAGCAAGAGGGAUCAAAACCGACUAGAUGAUGCAUGAGUUCAGGCUUCCUUCACUAACCGAUCCAUCACUUCCCAAGAGACCGAUCGACAAGAACAUCCCGCUCAAUGACUGUUGGACCAUAUGUAAGAUCUUCAAGAAGACCAGUUCGAUGGCACAACAAAUGGCGUUGUCCCACACUUGGGGGCCUCCACUACCUGAGACAACUGAGCAAGAUCUCUUCUCCGCAAUGCAACCGAUGCAAGCUUCAAAUUUUGCUUCACAGAGCUCCUUCUGCUCAUCGCAAGUUGCAGAGGCACCAGCAAGUCAGUUCAACAGCAAACAUGGGUUCCAGGGACAACAACAGCUUCAGAAACCCAGCAACACAUAGGAUGGCUCUUCAUGCAAGGUCAUAAGCUUUAACUGCAAUCCCACCAUCUUGCCAUUCCAAACACAGCCAUCACAGAAGCCCGAGCACACUGCACCGCCGCUCUUCAACAUGCAGUUUGGGCAGCCUGAGCAGCAGAUCACUGGAUUUCUGGCUGAUUCUUCUGCAGAUGUAAUGGGCAUGAGCAGCAGGAACCAAGAUUCAUCCACAAUGAAGCAUGGCAAUACUUUCAGUAUGAACAAUGAGUUGGACGCUCCGGGGAGACUCAACUUCCCAUUCGAUUUAGGAGCAGACUCUUCAGAUGACUGGAAGUGCAACAUACCUUGGGAAUCCUUUCUUAGCCCAACUGUCCUUGCUGAAAUGCCACAGUACUAG